AUGCAUAGAUUUAGGAUGUCCCGUAAUUUGUUCAAACGCAUAGCCGAUGGUAUACUUGAGCAUGAUUAUGAUGGUUAUUUUACUCAAAAAAGAAGUGCUUCUGGAGCUCUUGGGUUACAUCCUCUGCAAAAGAUUACCGCGGCAAUGCGGAUGCUAACAUAUGGAAUAGCAGCUGAUGGUGCUGAUGAGUACAUCCGGUCCGCUGAGGCUACUAAUUUAGAGUCUUGCAAGAAAUUUGUGAUCAAAGUUUGUGAAGUUUUUGGGGAAAGGUACCUGAGAUCUCCAAAUGAAGAAGACAUUGCUAGGUUACUUGCAAUAGGGGAGGAAAGAGGAUUUCCUGGUAUGUUAGGGAGCAUAGAUUGCAUGCACUGGGGUUGGAAAAAUUGCCCCCAAAAAUGGCAUGGCAUGUUUAAAGGCCAUGUCAGCGAGCCCACUAUGAUCUUGGAAGCAGUUGCUUCACAAGAUCUUUGGAUUUGGCAUGCUUAUUUUGGUUUACCAGGGUCUCUGAAUGAUAUAAAUGUUCUUCAACGUUCUCCUGUUUUUACAAAGCUAGCUGAAGGCCAAACUCCUCCAGUGAAUUAUAGCAUCAAUGGCCAUCAGUACACAAUGGGGUAUUACCUUGCAGAUGGUAUCUAUCCACGGUGGGCAACAUUUGUGAAGAGCAUACCAGCUCCAGAUACCAGAAAACAUAAAACUUUUGCCAAGAGGCAAGAGGGGGCUAGGAAAGAUGUGGAACGAGCCUUUGGAGUUCUUCAAUCCCGUUUUGCCAUUGUUCGUGGACCUGCUAAAGGAUGGAAACGUAAAGAAAUCGGUGAUGUCAUGAAAGCUUGUGUCAUAAUGCACAAUAUGAUAGUUGAAGAGGAGCGACAAACUGGUCGGCAAAGCUGCACUUUUGAGGCAAUGGGAGAAAGAGUCACGGUCUCUCAUACUCAUGCGGAACAACUGAGCUCUUUUAUUCAGAUGACUCACCGGAUUAGAAAUCAAGGUGAACAUGAUCAGCUUAAACUUGAUCUAAUUGACCAUGUGUGGCAAAAGUUUGGAAACGAGUGA
RNAcentral lists this ribosomal RNA (1050 nucleotides) under Triticum aestivum (bread wheat). RNAcentral's name for it is "partial small subunit ribosomal RNA". Lineage: Eukaryota; Viridiplantae; Streptophyta; Magnoliopsida; Poales; Poaceae. The record is from RNAcentral.